UUUCUGUGAUGAUCUUUAAUAUAAUUGACAAGCAUAUGUCUGAAUAUAAAAUGUAAUUGAUGAUAUUCUAUACAAUCUGAGAAA
Molecule: small nucleolar RNA, 84 nt
Filed under: Plasmodium knowlesi strain H
Lineage: Eukaryota; Apicomplexa; Aconoidasida; Haemosporida; Plasmodiidae
Description: Plasmodium knowlesi snoRNA PKNH_0907150
Source: RNAcentral